GGGCAUGAGGAUCCUCCAGGGGAAAAGCUCACUACCACUGGGCAACAACCCUAGGUCAGGAGGUUCUGUCAAGAUACUUUCCUGGUCCCAGAUAGGAAGAUAAAGUCUCAAAAACAACCACCACACGUCAAGGAGAACAUGGACAACUGUCACAUCAGUGACAUUGAUCACAUGGGCAAAUCAUUCUGUUCCAUGUGGUCCCCAAAGUCUCUCUUAAAGCCUUACAGAAGAACUUUGCCAAUCAUUUACAUACUUCAGGAUGGCUUGGGAUGCCAUGGUGUAUAAUACAACAAGUGAGAGCUCUUCAUUGUUCCUAUCUGCCAAAUCAUUAUACUUCCUACAAGCAGUGCAGAGAGCUGAGUCUUCAGCAGGUCCAAGAAAUUUGAACACACUGAAGGAAGUCAGCCUUCCCACCUGAAGAUCAACAUGCCUGGCACUCUAGCACUUGAGGAUAGCUGAAUGAAUGUGUAUUUCUUUGUCUCUUUCUUUCUUGUCUUUGCUCUUUGUUCUCUAUCUAAAGUGUGUCUUACCCAUUUCCAUGUUUCUCUUGCUAAUUUCUUUCGUGUGUGCCUUUGCCUCAUUUUCUCUUUUUGUUCACAAGAGUGGUCUGUGUCUUGUCUUAGACAUAUCUCUCAUUUUUCAUUUUGUUGCUAUUUCUCUUUGCUCUCCUAGAUGUGGCUCUUCUUUCACGCUUUAUUUCAUGUCUCCUUUUUGGGUCACAUGCUGUGUGCUUUUUGUCCUUUUCUUGUUCUGUCUACCUCUCCUUUCUCUGCCUACCUCUCUUUUCUCUUUGUGAACUGUGA
Molecule: long non-coding RNA, 803 nt
Filed under: Homo sapiens (human)
Lineage: Eukaryota; Metazoa; Chordata; Mammalia; Primates; Hominidae
Description: long non-coding RNA NONHSAT223416.1
Source: RNAcentral